AUAAGUAUUCAUCUAACUUAUUUGAUCUAGGUGUUCGAGUUGCCCAAUAUGAGCAAUUCCGGAAGGAAAGUGAGGACAAUCGGCUGCAAUGGAGCCGAUAUAAAAAGCGAAGCAAAGGCAAGGAUAAAUCUUUGAUAGAAGAACAGUCGGUUCAAGAAGAGCAGAGCCAAUCGAGUGAAAGUGAAGAAUCGGAUGAUGAAGCCGAGGUAUAUGCGGAUGGUAAAGAGCCACUUUCUUCAAGGAGAAAAUCCUUGAUAGAAGAACAGUUGGUUCAAGAAGAGUCAAGCCAAUAGAGUAAAAGCAAAGAAUCGAUUGAUGAAGCCGAGGUAUAUGCGGUUGGGAUGGUAAAGAG
Molecule: long non-coding RNA, 352 nt
Filed under: Ananas comosus (pineapple)
Lineage: Eukaryota; Viridiplantae; Streptophyta; Magnoliopsida; Poales; Bromeliaceae
Description: long non-coding RNA (ACOM_LNC008836)
Source: RNAcentral